RNAcentral lists this long non-coding RNA (2566 nucleotides) under Homo sapiens (human). RNAcentral describes it as "HSALNT0198709". Lineage: Eukaryota; Metazoa; Chordata; Mammalia; Primates; Hominidae. The record is from RNAcentral.
GCAGGUUGUUUGGCCUGAGGCUGUCAUCAACAUGUGGGAGGGCUGCUCUGCUCAGCUGCAGGGCCAGCGUUGGUCCCAGUCUAGACAAUCGCAGUUGCUCAGAUCUCCAAGAUCACACACAUUUUCUCACAAAAUGCCUGUGAAGCUUACCAGCACUUGAGUGGCAACAUAGGGGCAUCUUUCUUCUCCUUUACCUGCCUCCAUGCCUAGGAAAGACUAGUGUGGGUAGGGUGUAGGCUAGUCAGGAGGAGUCAGGCUGGGGGCUAUGCCCUGAGCCUUCCCCUUCCGAGGGACUGGAUACUGGCUCCUCUGCCGAGAGCAUCAUCCCCUCAGCCUCAGCAAGCAGUGAAAAAGGCAUGCCCUGCAGAAGUGAACACACUUGUCUCGGCUCAGCCACUCCACUCACUUUUGAUGCAACCUUUCCCUUCUCUGGGAAUUCUACAUGAAUCUUUGGGAAGAUUUAUUUUACGUGUCAAUGUGGCUAAUUCACGGUACCCAGUUGUCCAAACACCAAUCUGGAAGUCUCUGUGAAGGUGUUUUUCAGAUGUGAUUAGCAGUUGGAUCAGUAGAUGUGAGUAAAGCAGAGUCUGCUCCAUAAUGGGGGUGGGCUUUACCCAAUGAGUUAAAGAAGUUAAAACAUUUGGGUCCCCCAAGGAGGAGGGAAUUCUGCCUUCAGACUGCCCUUGGCCUUUAGCUACAUCAACUGUGCCUGGGCCUCCAGCCUCUCCUGUAGACUGGAUUUGCCAGUCUCACAAUCAUGUGAGCCAAUUCCUUCAAAUCUUUCUCUCUUUUUUCUCUCUCUCUCUCGACAUCCUAUUUGUUUUGUCUCUGGAGAACCCUAAUACAAUCUCCUUAGGCUCAUUAGCCCAACAAACCACAUAGAGAACUUCUAGUGUAUAGAGAAUAAAUCAAAUCAAAUGGCAGUUUUCAGCCAUUUGUGGGCAUCCAGUAGGAGACCUGUAGGAUCCAUUUCUUUUUAGAGUGGGGUUUACCUGAAGAAGCUAGUGAUGAACGGCCAGAUGUUAUCAGGAGACUGCUCCAUUUUCAUAAACCAGAUUUCCUUGUGGUUUGCUCUGAAGCCGGCUUCCUCACGUUGGAGUGACUGGGAGCAGUGGACCAGCAGACAGUGACAGUGAGUUCCAGGCGAGAGAAGCACGGAGUAGGGGCUCUGCUUUCGACUCACUUGAGAGGCUGCAAGGAAGUGAUUUGAAUUCUGAGUUUUCCCACAAAUUCCAUGAGGUCAAGUUACUUCCGCUAAAUUUCAUAUUGGUUAUGAACUCUGUUUUCAAAUGCAGCAUGUAAACUCCUUCUGUAAAAUAAAAGGAAGUAGGAUAUUCAGCAAUUCUUUACUGGAUGUGAUCAGCAAAGACAAGACAUCUGCAGCUGAUGGGAUCACCUAGAUUUGGAGGUUGGGGAACAGGGAAGAUCUAAACACCCUUGUUUUCUUGGCCUCUUUGGUCUCAGCCACAUGGAAUCAGAUUAUUUGACUAGGACUAUUAAUGCAUAAGAAGGGAGAAACACAAAAAGGUGAUUUCUUGAGGUUUCAGCUUACCUUGUCAAUGAUUCUGCAACUGUGUGCCAUGAAUUCUUAGUCCUGCAACAUGGUCAUAAAGACAGAAACAUUCCACAAAGUUGUAUAUGAUGGUCUUCUCCUCCUACUUGGAGAGUUCCCUGCUAUUGUUAGCCCUUCUAGGGCCCCCUACUCUCCCUCAAAAGAGCAUUUUCUCAAACAGAAGUGCCCACUCUAGAAGACCACUUUGUUUUUGAUUUGGAAAAUCAAGCUUGGCUUUGGUAAGUUCAUGUUAAAUCUGAAAGAAGAUGUUGAUUAGUCCAGCUAUAAUUAAUAACAGUAAGUAUAUCAUUAGCAUGUACAGAAUCUAACCAAUAAAUUAUGGAAACGUUUUCUGUCUUUUCAAGCCUGAAGGUUCUUUCAUAGAUGGCCUGCUUUGGGAACUCGGUGGAGACCCAGUAUUACACACACGCCAGGAAGCCCGGGAGGACCUUCAUCUCACCCUUGCCACGUGCCCCUCAGGCAGGAGGUCAGGUGGAGCCACGUCGGGGCCUUGGAGACUCGGCUGAGAGGUGUGAUGGAAGAUGGGGCGUGAUGGAAGAUGGGACAUGAAAGUGCUGCGGCUGCACUGACAUUCUUAUGGCCCUCACUCCAAGCACUUCUCACCACUCAAACCAGCGGCCCCAAGUAAAGCUUUUGGGGGCACUGAGAGUCCAUGCCUGAGUGAGGUACUGAAGGACAGACUCAGUGAUGGGAGAGCACAUUGAUUUUCUCAAUGCCUAUGGCUCUAUUUUCUCCCACUCCAAAGAACCAAGGCAAAAUUCAGCAUAAGUCAAGGUCCAGGCUUUGAAAGAAAUCCAGGUGUUUGUUCUCCUGUAAAAGGAGCACGUCAUAAACCCAGCACACACCCCAGGCCUGAGACGCCCACUCCUUCCUACCAGGGGAACCUGGCCAUGUUCUUCGUGGAGAAGGCACCUCCAGCAGGUGGCCACCACAGCAGCAUCCGGUGUGACUCAGUGGCCCCUGAGCUGGCAUGUCUGCUGGGCCUGCUCCCUC